GAGGAGGUCAAAAGACCUGCUAACUCUUUAAUCUGGUACUAACAACCCAGCCUCCUCU
Molecule: transfer RNA, 58 nt
Filed under: Laticauda colubrina (yellow-lipped sea krait)
Lineage: Eukaryota; Metazoa; Chordata; Lepidosauria; Squamata; Elapidae
Description: tRNA-Ser
Source: RNAcentral